This is a long non-coding RNA of Parasteatoda tepidariorum (common house spider), 823 nucleotides long. RefSeq lists it as uncharacterized. Lineage: Eukaryota; Metazoa; Arthropoda; Arachnida; Araneae; Theridiidae. The record is from RefSeq and is a predicted model, not a curated record.
ACUGCGCAUCAUGGCGCUAAAACACACGGGAUGCUUUUGAAAACGAGAUUUUGGCUUUUAUCGUAAGGCUUGUUUCAAACGGGAAGAAGUUCGGCUCUUUUUAAGAUCUUUGCACGUUAUCCUUUGACGGAACUUACCUGGAAAGAUUGUUUUCUUCGCAGGAGCUUUCUUUCUGGGCUUAAGGAAAAUAAAGCUGUAUUUCUGGUUCUUUUAGACUAUAAAAGAGGAUGGUUUUAUUAAAGAUGCAUGGGCAAAUGCAAUAAUAAGAAGAGCGCUUAAUAAUGGAGCCUUUUUAGAGUUGCAGAAGAACGUCGGAAUGAACAGAGGCUGAUCAUGAUCUACAACAGUGUUUAUUCUCUACCCGAUUCAAUCGAAGGACAGGAACUGAAGAAGAAAGUGGGUCAAUAAAAUAGAAAAAUGACAGAUGAGAAUAAACUUAACUACACUUGAUAGAUCUGAUAAUUAAACAUUUGGAAUACGUUUGAGAAAAAUUGUGAUGCCAUAAGCCAUUAAACACAAUAUGACUCACUGCCAUGAAAGUAUUAUGGUGCAUCAAGUUAUAAAAUGCCAUAUGAUUCUACGAUUUCAUAAAAACAUUAUGAUGCCACGAUUUCAUAAAAACAUUAUGAUGCCACAGUGUUAUAGAAGUAUUCUGAUGUCAAAAUUUAUGAAAUGCCAUGUGAUGUAACUACAACAUAAAAUCAUUGUUAUGUUUCCAGUCAUAAUGAAUGAGAGCAUAUUUUUUAGGGAAGUAAGAAACCCUUCAAUAAUGUAAAAUUCGAAUAUUUUUUAAAUAUUUAACUAAAUGCAUAAUGAAAGUUUU